Molecule: ribosomal RNA, 465 nt
Filed under: uncultured Klebsiella sp.
Lineage: Bacteria; Pseudomonadati; Pseudomonadota; Gammaproteobacteria; Enterobacterales; Enterobacteriaceae
Description: bacterial SSU rRNA
Rfam family: Bacterial small subunit ribosomal RNA
Source: RNAcentral
CCUACGGGAGGCUGCAGUGGGGAAUAUUGCACAAUGGGCGCAAGCCUGAUGCAGCCAUGCCGCGUGUGUGAAGAAGGCCUUCGGGUUGUAAAGCACUUUCAGCGGGGAGGAAGGCGUUAAGGUUAAUAACCUUGUCGAUUGACGUUACCCGCAGAAGAAGCACCGGCUAACUCCGUGCCAGCAGCCGCGGUAAUACGGAGGGUGCAAGCGUUAAUCGGAAUUACUGGGCGUAAAGCGCACGCAGGCGGUCUGUCAAGUCGGAUGUGAAAUCCCCGGGCUCAACCUGGGAACUGCAUUCGAAACUGGCAAGCUAGAGUCUUGUAGAGGGGGGUAGAAUUCCAGGUGUAGCGGUGAAAUGCGUAGAGAUCUGGAGGAAUACCGGUGGCGAAGGCGGCCCCCUGGACAAAGACUGACGCUCAGGUGCGAAAGCGUGGGGAGCAAACAGGAUUAGAUACCCGUGUAGUC